This 484-nucleotide ribosomal RNA is filed under the name uncultured bacterium. RNAcentral describes it as "partial 16S ribosomal RNA". It matches the Rfam family "Bacterial small subunit ribosomal RNA", at positions 28 to 523 of the family's 1533-position model. The record is from RNAcentral.
GACGAACGCUGGCGGCGUGCUUAACACAUGCAAGUCGAACGAUGAAGCUGGAGCUUGCUCUAGCGGAUUAGUGGCGAACGGGUGAGUAACACGUGAGCAAUCUGCCCUUGACUCUGGGAUAACUGCGGGAAACUGUAGCUAAUACCGGAUACUUUCACCGGGGGGCAUCCUCUGGUGAUGAAAGAAUUUCGGUCAAGGAUGAGCUCGCGGCCUAUCAGCUUGUUGGUGAGGUAACGGCUCACCAAGGCGACGACGGGUAACCGGCCUGAGAGGGUGACCGGUCAGACUGGGACUGAGACACGGCCCAGACUCCUACGGGGGGCAGCAGUGGGGAAUAUUGCACAAUGGGCGCAAGCCUGAUGCAGCAACGCCGCGUUAGGGAUGAAGGCCUUCGGGUUGUAAACCUCUUUUAGCAGGGAAGAAGCGAAAGUGACGGUACCUGCAGAAAAAGCACCGGCUAACUACGUGCCAGCAGCCGCAGUAA